UCUAUAACCGAUAACCCCCGUUCAACCUCACCACCUCUUGUUUUACCCGCCUAUAUACCACCGUCGUCAGCUUACCCUGUGAAGGCUCUAUAGUAAGCAAAAUGGACAAAACCCAA
RNAcentral lists this ribosomal RNA (116 nucleotides) under Oncorhynchus tshawytscha (Chinook salmon). Its description in RNAcentral is "partial 12S ribosomal RNA". The record is from RNAcentral. Lineage: Eukaryota; Metazoa; Chordata; Actinopteri; Salmoniformes; Salmonidae.